CAGCCGCACGGUAAUACGUAGGGUGCAAGCGUUAAUCGGAAUUACUGGGCGUAAAGCGUGCGCAGGCGGUUUUGUAAGACAGAGGUGAAAUCCCCGGGCUCAACCUGGGAACUGCCUUUGUGACUGCAAGGCUGGAGUGCGGCAGAGGGGGAUGGAAUUCCGCGUGUAGCAGUGAAAUGCGUAGAUAUGCGGAGGAACACCGAUGGCGAAGGCAAUCCCCUGGGCCUGCGCUGACGCUCAUGCACGAAAGCGUGGGGAGCAAACAGGAUUAGAUACCCCAGUAGUCCCUGUCUCUUAUACA
This 301-nucleotide ribosomal RNA is filed under the name uncultured bacterium. RNAcentral's name for it is "partial 16S ribosomal RNA". It matches the Rfam family "Bacterial small subunit ribosomal RNA", at positions 512 to 808 of the family's 1533-position model. The record is from RNAcentral.